UUUGAGAGUUUGAUCCUAGCUCAGGGUGAACGCUGGUAACGUGGAUAAGGCAUGCAAGUCGUGCGCCUCACUUCGUUUCGGCGUAAACUCCUUUAAAAAGAGUUUACUCCGAGCGUAGCGAGGAGCGGCGAACGGGUUAGUAACACGUGAGUACAAACCCCAAAGACGGGCAUAAUCCGCCGAAGGGCGGACUAAUUCCCGAUAGUCCCGCAAGGGUAAAGGAGUAAUCCACUUUGGGAUUGGCUCGCGUCCUAUCAGUUAGUUGGUGGGGUAACGGCCUACCAAGACUAUGACGGGUAGGGGGCGUGAGAGCGCGGCCCCCAACAGCGGUACUGCGACACGGACCGCACUCCUACGGGAGGCAGCAGUCGAGAAUCUUCCACAAUGGGCGAAAGCCUGAUGGAGCGACGUUACGUGAGCGAAGAAACCCUUCGGGGCGUAAAGCUCUUUUGCGUGAGAAGAACUCGCAAGAGUGACGUUAUCACGCGAAUAAGGGGAGCCUAAUUCUGUGCCAGCAGGAGCGGUAAUACAGAAUCCCCAAGCGUUACCCGGAUUUAUUGGGCGUAAAGCGUCUGUAGGUGGUCGGAAAAGUCUCUGGUUAAAACUCAUUGGCUUAACCUUUGAACUGCGAGAGAAACUCUCCGACUUGAGGACGUUAGAGGCUAAUGGAACCGACGGUGUAGGGGUGAAAUCCGUUGAUAUCGUCGGGAACACCAAAAGCGAAGGCAGUUAGCUGGAACGAUCCUAACACUGAGAGACGAAAGCGUGGGGAGCAAAAAGGAUUAGAUACCCUUGUAGUCCACGCUGUAAACGAUGGACACUAGUUAUUGGCAGUGUCGACCCUGUCAGUGACGAAGCUAACGCGUUAAGUGUCCCGCCUGGGAAGUACGGUGGCAACACUAAAACUCAAAGGAAUAGACGGGGACUCACACAAGCGGUGGAUCAUGUGGCUUAAUUCGACGACAAACGAAGAACCUUACCAGGGUUAGAAAUCCCGUUGAAGUUCUGUUGAAAGAUGGAACGCUCACAAGGCAACGGGACAGGUGCUGCAUGGUUGUCGUCAGCUCGUGUCGUGAGACGUACCGUUAAUUCGGAUAACGAGCGCAACCCUUGCCCUAUGUUUUAUAUGUCAUAGGGGACUGCCCGAGACAAUCGGGAGGAAGGUGAGGAUGACGCCAAAUCAGCAUGGCCCUCUGAUGCCCUGGGCCGCACACAUGAUACAAUGGCCGGUACAAUGGGUUGCUAAGCGGCAACGCGGAGCUAAUCCCACCAAAGCCGGUCUCAGUUCGGAUCGAAGGCUGAAACCCGACUUCGUGAAGCUGGAAUCGCUAGUAAUCGCCGAUCAGCUAUGCGGCGAUGAAUAUGUCCCUGAGUCUUGUACUCACCGCCCGUCAAGCCAAGCGAGCUGGGAAUGGUCAAAGUC
Molecule: ribosomal RNA, 1423 nt
Filed under: Candidatus Staskawiczbacteria bacterium CG10_big_fil_rev_8_21_14_0_10_38_10
Lineage: Bacteria; Candidatus Staskawicziibacteriota
Description: bacterial SSU rRNA
Rfam family: Bacterial small subunit ribosomal RNA
Source: RNAcentral